Molecule: ribosomal RNA, 2449 nt
Filed under: Salmonella enterica
Lineage: Bacteria; Pseudomonadati; Pseudomonadota; Gammaproteobacteria; Enterobacterales; Enterobacteriaceae
Description: bacterial LSU rRNA
Rfam family: Bacterial large subunit ribosomal RNA
Source: RNAcentral
ACCAGUACCGUGAGGGAAAGGCGAAAAGAACCCCGGCGAGGGGAGUGAAAAAGAACCUGAAACCGUGUACGUACAAGCAGUGGGAGCACCCUUUGGGUGUGACUGCGUACCUUUUGUAUAAUGGGUCAGCGACUUAUAUUCUGUAGCAAGGUUAACCGAAUAGGGGAGCCGGAGGGAAACCGAGUCUUAAUUGGGCGUUAAGUUGCAGGGUAUAGACCCGAAACCCGGUGAUCUAGCCAUGGGCAGGUUGAAGGUUGGGUAACACUAACUGGAGGACCGAACCGACUAAUGUUGAAAAAUUAGCGGAUGACCUGUGGCUGGGGGUGAAAGGCCAAUCAAACCGGGAGAUAGCUGGUUCUCCCCGAAAGCUAUUUAGGUAGCGCCUCGUGAAUUCAUCUCCGGGGGUAGAGCACUGUUUCGGCUAGGGGGCCAUCCCGGCUUACCAACCCGAUGCAAACUGCGAAUACCGGAGAAUGUUAUCACGGGAGACACACGGCGGGUGCUAACGUCCGUCGUGAAGAGGGAAACAACCCAGACCGCCAGCUAAGGUCCCAAAGUCAUGGUUAAGUGGGAAACGAUGUGGGAAGGCCCAGACAGCCAGGAUGUUGGCUUAGAAGCAGCCAUCAUUUAAAGAAAGCGUAAUAGCUCACUGGUCGAGUCGGCCUGCGCGGAAGAUGUAACGGGGCUAAACCAUGCACCGAAGCUGCGGCAGCGACACUGUGUGUUGUUGGGUAGGGGAGCGUUCUGUAAGCCUGUGAAGGUGUGUCGUGAGGCAUGCUGGAGGUAUCAGAAGUGCGAAUGCUGACAUAAGUAACGAUAAAGCGGGUGAAAAGCCCGCUCGCCGGAAGACCAAGGGUUCCUGUCCAACGUUAAUCGGGGCAGGGUGAGUCGACCCCUAAGGCGAGGCCGAAAGGCGUAGUCGAUGGGAAACGGGUUAAUAUUCCCGUACUUGGUGUUACUGCGAAGGGGGGACGGAGAAGGCUAUGUUGGCCGGGCGACGGUUGUCCCGGUUUAAGCGUGUAGGUGUGUGUUCCAGGUAAAUCCGGUUCACUUUAACACUGAGGCGUGACGACGAGGCACUACGGUGCUGAAGCAACAAAUGCCCUGCUUCCAGGAAAAGCCUCUAAGCAUCAGGUAACAUCAAAUCGUACCCCAAACCGACACAGGUGGUCAGGUAGAGAAUACCAAGGCGCUUGAGAGAACUCGGGUGAAGGAACUAGGCAAAAUGGUGCCGUAACUUCGGGAGAAGGCACGCUGACACGUAGGUGAAGUGAUUUACUCAUGGAGCUGAAGUCAGUCGAAGAUACCAGCUGGCUGCAACUGUUUAUUAAAAACACAGCACUGUGCAAACACGAAAGUGGACGUAUACGGUGUGACGCCUGCCCGGUGCCGGAAGGUUAAUUGAUGGGGUCAGCGCAAGCGAAGCUCCUGAUCGAAGCCCCGGUAAACGGCGGCCGUAACUAUAACGGUCCUAAGGUAGCGAAAUUCCUUGUCGGGUAAGUUCCGACCUGCACGAAUGGCGUAAUGAUGGCCAGGCUGUCUCCACCCGAGACUCAGUGAAAUUGAACUCGCUGUGAAGAUGCAGUGUACCCGCGGCAAGACGGAAAGACCCCGUGAACCUUUACUAUAGCUUGACACUGAACAUUGAGCCUUGAUGUGUAGGAUAGGUGGGAGGCUUUGAAGUGUGGACGCCAGUCUGCAUGGAGCCGACCUUGAAAUACCACCCUUUAAUGUUUGAUGUUCUAACGUGGACCCGUUACCCGGGUUGCGGACAGUGUCUGGUGGGUAGUUUGACUGGGGCGGUCUCCUCCUAAAGAGUAACGGAGGAGCACGAAGGUUGGCUAAUCCUGGUCGGACAUCAGGAGGUUAGUGCAAUGGCAUAAGCCAGCUUGACUGCGAGCGUGACGGCGCGAGCAGGUGCGAAAGCAGGUCAUAGUGAUCCGGUGGUUCUGAAUGGAAGGGCCAUCGCUCAACGGAUAAAAGGUACUCCGGGGAUAACAGGCUGAUACCGCCCAAGAGUUCAUAUCGACGGCGGUGUUUGGCACCUCGAUGUCGGCUCAUCACAUCCUGGGGCUGAAGUAGGUCCCAAGGGUAUGGCUGUUCGCCAUUUAAAGUGGUACGCGAGCUGGGUUUAGAACGUCGUGAGACAGUUCGGUCCCUAUCUGCCGUGGGCGCUGGAGAACUGAGGGGGGCUGCUCCUAGUACGAGAGGACCGGAGUGGACGCAUCACUGGUGUUCGGGUUGUCAUGCCAAUGGCACUGCCCGGUAGCUAAAUGCGGAAGAGAUAAGUGCUGAAAGCAUCUAAGCACGAAACUUGCCCCGAGAUGAGUUCUCCCUGAGACUUAGAGUCUCCUGAAGGAACGUUGAAGACGACGACGUUGAUAGGCCGGGUGUGUAAGCGCAGCGAUGCGUUGAGCUAACCGGUACUAAUGAACCGUGAGGCUUAACC